UUCUAGGUGUCUGGGGCUUCAGAAGGAAGACUACGUUCAUGACUCUGCACUGGACACAAAUGAAACCUCAUUUACUCAUACAUAUAGUGAUGGUGCUAAAGUUGUGUCAUGUACAAAGCCUAAACAUAGUUGGAAGGAAAUUCUGUUUGAUGGAGUAUGAAAGAAAAAAGAACUGAUAAUGAGACUGUGAGACACUGUCAGUGACAAACACAUGGAUUAGCAAUGCAAUCAGGAAGGAACAGACUUCUGAUAAAUGAAUUAUGACAGCAUCUAGAAAUCACUACUGGGAAGAAGAAAGAAGUAGCUACAUGGAGCUUCAUUCAACCAUAUUCAACAUUUAAUUCAGAAAAGCCACUUAGUCUUUUGAAAAGACAGUCACCUCAGGAUCAUGGACUCCUUACUAGACAGGCUAGUUCCUUCAUUUUCUAUCAUCCAUUUUGUGAAGCUAUGCAGACUACCCAGACUCUAAAAAGAAAGAGAGACUGUUUAACACACUGUUGAAAAGAACCUGUUCAAAUGGCUUUGUGGCCUUUGAUGUGAUUCUAUGCCUUGCACAAAGAGCAGAGUCUGGCUACCAACUCAAUGCCUUUCUUUUGCUUAACAUCUGGGGACUCAGACCAAAGGCUUCUGCCAUGUUGCCCUUCAUUCUGCUCACUUCACCAUUUUCUUUCAAUUGAGAGGCAAAUACGGGUGGCUUAAAUAAACAAUGCAGAUGCCUUAAAGAAUGCUUAGAAGAGAAAACAUUUCAUGUCAGCAGUAUAAAGGCAGAAUUCCAUGUCCAAUCGCAGGCACCCCUGUGACAUGCUCAUCAGGGUGACAUGGGUUUAAUAUCAAUCACUCUUUACUUAUCUCCAUUUCUGCCUAUCCACUAAAACCCCCCAAAGUCUGAAGGUUCUCCUUCUGCAGUUAGCAAUGUUCUUUCUCAUUAUAAACACUUACAAGUAAGAGUUAUUCAUUCAUCACUAGAUUUUUACAUAAAACUGAUAGCCUUUCUCCAACAAGAACCUUUCUAAAACCUUAAAAUUUUUGAGGAAUGGAAGAGGGUGGUAUAUUUUAAAUUUGAAUAUGACUGUGAUUUCAAAUGUCCAAAACCACUGUCAAGGGCUUCAGCAACAAUGCUUCUGACCUCUGCUUGCAGGAAGGGCACUUCCUGCCACUUGCUGUUAUCUUCAAUCUGUUUAGCAAGAAGCAGCACCAGAAGAUAAGAGGCAGGGACACUUUCUCUGAUUAAAAAUACAGAGCUUGAGGAGGGAAGCUUGCCUGUGAAGGGGAAAGGGGGCUGGAGUGUGAACUAUCUGCCAGGAAGUAGCCAGGACAGGAUAUGUUGAGGCUGUGCUCACAAACGACGUGGCAUCUGUUUGUCCUUUAUAGAAAGCAUUGGCAUGCUCUAACAUGCUAUAGGAACCAUGUAAUUUAUUCAAUAAAAAAUCCUGCCUUAGAGUUCA
Peromyscus eremicus (cactus mouse) is the source of this 1445-nucleotide long non-coding RNA. RefSeq lists it as uncharacterized. The transcript has 2 exons. The record is from RefSeq and is a predicted model, not a curated record. Lineage: Eukaryota; Metazoa; Chordata; Mammalia; Rodentia; Cricetidae.